This 449-nucleotide ribosomal RNA is filed under the name uncultured bacterium. Its description in RNAcentral is "partial 16S ribosomal RNA". It matches the Rfam family "Bacterial small subunit ribosomal RNA", at positions 30 to 523 of the family's 1533-position model. The record is from RNAcentral.
AUUGAACGCUGGCGGCAUGCCUUACACAUGCAAGUCGAACGAAGUCUUCGGACUUAGUGGCGGACGGGUGAGUAACACGUGGGAACGUGCCUUUAGGUUCGGAAUAACUCAGGGAAACUUGUGCUAAUACCGAAUGUGCCCUUCGGGGGAAAGAUUUAUCGCCUUUAGAGCGGCCCGCGUCUGAUUAGCUAGUUGGUGAGGUAAAGGCUCACCAAGGCGACGAUCAGUAGCUGGUCUGAGAGGAUGAUCAGCCACAUUGGGACUGAGACACGGCCCAAACUCCUACGGGAGGCAGCAGUGGGGAAUCUUGCGCAAUGGGCGAAAGCCUGACGCAGCCAUGCCGCGUGAAUGAUGAAGGUCUUAGGAUUGUAAAAUUCUUUCACCGGGGACGAUAAUGACGGUACCCGGAGAAGAAGCCCCGGCUAACUUCGUGCCAGCCGCCGCCGUAA